GUAGGUGGCAAGCGUUGUCCGGAAUUAUUGGGCGUAAAGCGCGCGCAGGCGGUUCUUUAAGUCUGAUGUGAAAGCCCACGGCUCAACCGUGGAGGGUCAUUGGAAACUGGAGAACUUGAGUACAGAAGAGGAAAGCGGAAUUCCACGUGUAGCGGUGAAAUGCGUAGAGAUGUGGAGGAACACCGGUGGCGAAGGCGGCUUUCUGGUCUGUAACUGACGCUGAGGCGCGAAAGCGUGGGGAGCAAACAGGAUUAGAUACCCUGGUAGUCCACGCCGUAAACGAUGAGUGCUAAGUGUUAGGGGGUUUCCCGCCCCCUUAGUGCUGCAGCUAGCGCAUUAAGCACUCCGCCUGGGGAGUACGGCCGCAAGGCUG
This 373-nucleotide ribosomal RNA is filed under the name uncultured organism. RNAcentral describes it as "partial 16S ribosomal RNA". It matches the Rfam family "Bacterial small subunit ribosomal RNA", at positions 527 to 896 of the family's 1533-position model. The record is from RNAcentral.